This 2312-nucleotide long non-coding RNA is filed under the name Vulpes vulpes (red fox). RNAcentral describes it as "lncRNA (ENSVVUG00000001892.1)". The record is from RNAcentral. Lineage: Eukaryota; Metazoa; Chordata; Mammalia; Carnivora; Canidae.
AUGCCGGCCCAACAUGGCGGCCUUCUCUCCCCAGCCCACCAGCAGCACCUGAGGAGGAUGCUGGGAGAGCUGAGGGUGCACAAUGCGCAUGCUCCUGAGCCCAAAUCUCGGGAGCCCGCUGGAAUCUCACGGAGUCUGCACGGUGGCCGCCUGGGCUCAGUGGGCGGGGACUUCGCAGGAGAAGCAGCCGAGGGAAGAGCCGCAAGAUGGGUACGAGGGAUGGAGGGGUCCUGUGGGCGCGUUUUCUUUGAAGCAAGUAGAAGCUCUGCAUCUUGUGAUAAGUCUCUGAAGUACAGUGGAAAUGAGAAUCUGGCAAACACCUCUAAUGAAGUAAGAAAUCAUUUGAAUUAUUUUUGUUUGUUUGUUUAGGUAAAAUAUAAAUGAUUGUAAUGUUGACUAGAACAAAAUUCAGCAUUUAUUUUAUCAAUACCCUUUCUGACAAUGCAUUUUUUAAUAUAAGAAACAACAGAGCCUACUCUCCUAAAAAAAGGAAAAGAAAAAAGAAAAAAAAUAAGUAAACCAAAACAGGUAUGGCAAAUAUUAAGAACCUUACUUAAAUUCUAGAUAAAAAAGGGGAAACAUUUACUGUUGAUGCUUCAUACAUAGUAAAAUUUCAAUACAUUUUGUCAAUUAAAAUACUAAACAAACAUUGCUACUUUAUCUUAUCACUAUUACAGUAAACUGGAAUUAACUUUAGAUCAAAAAUCAAUUUAUUAGAAUAAUUUGUUAAAUGUUUGAUUCUCUAAAGGCCUGUUUAUACUCCUUCUGGUGAUUUUUGUCUUGCAUAAAUUCAUGACUCUACAAUUUACAGUAAUGUUACAUUAUAAGUAAUACAUUUUGAAAUCAAUGGUCCGUAUUCAAAAAUGACCUUUUUCACAUGUAUCCAGCCUUCUGAGUUACUGAUUAAUUGAUUAAAAUCCAUCUGUAAUCUUUCUAAAACAGGAAUUAAGGUGGUUCAUCUGUUUCUUGGGGUGGCUUUCUUGAACUUGGCCAAAAAUUCCAAAUUUUUUGACUAGUAGGUCUCAGUAUUAAACUAUGGCCACAAAACAUAUAUGUAUUCCUCUUUUUCUCUCUACCUCUCUUACUUUUUCACUUCCUCCCACUUUCCCUCCCACUAUCUAUGCAAAGCUCUCUAGCUCACUGAAAGAAUGUUUGAAUAACAUGGCACUCUAGCCUAAAGUCUCUAGAAGUAUGUAUAUAUUCCAGCAAAUCAAGAUCUUCUUUGAAGGGCAUGUGAUUUUACCCUAAUUGCAAGCUAACAAGUGGGCCUCCCAGUUUCAUAGGUAUUGAUAGAAGAUACAAGACUCUUGACACAGAGACAAAGGACUUUAUUACUUGCAAUAGCGCAGACACCAUUAACUUCAUGUUUGCAUUGUUACCCGAGUCCCAUAGGCCUGGGUGAAGGGCAACCAAGGAGGAUGUGUUAAGACAGUAGGGUUUAUGUCACAACUGAGGCAACAUGAACUUAGGAAACCUCAUUCCUUUAAAGUGGCUGUAAGCAAACCUGUUCAACCUUUGCCACAAACAGAAGUAUCUCUUUAUUAUCUUGGAAUGGAAACAAAUAGCUAAUGGUUAUUCCCCAGACAAGUAUCCUUGAAAAGAUAGUCCAGGACAAAAGGUAUCACAGGACAUGUGGAAAUGGGAGAGAUGCUAAGAGAAUUUUGUUUUUCUUCUUUUUUUUUUUUUUUUUUUUUUUUGUUUAAGAUUAUUUACUUAUUCAUGAGAGGCAGAAACAGAGGCAGAGGGAGAAGCAGACUCCCUGUGGGGAGCCCAAUGCGGGACUCAUCCCAAGACUCUAGGACCAUUCCCUGAGCCAAAGGCAGACGCUCAACCACUGAGCCACCCAGGCGUCCCUAAGAGAAUUUUCUUAUAAUGCCCAACAAGUAGUGGCAGACAUGGUCCUUCCUAUUAGUAAGAGUGUAUGAGCAUGCAUUUAUGUCCUCUGGUGUAUGUUUGGAUGCCAUUUUCAUCUUAAGCAAAAAUAAUUGAAAUGCAGAAGUAUAAUUAAUCUAAAGUUGCUAUGAAAAAACUGGCAGAGAUGAAAUAGUAAUGCCCAGUGCUGGUGAGAAUGUAGAAAACAGGUACUUCUACUGCCAAUGUUAGUAUAAUUGGGCACAUUUUUUAACUGGCAAAUUUGUUAUUUGUAUCAGAAGUCUUAAAAUUCGUGUGACAAAAGCUCUGAAACUUUUUCCAAACAAAUCAAUGCAGUUGUGGACCAAAACAGGAAUAUUUAUUAGUUCCAUUGUCUAUAAAAACAAAGUAAGAAUGACAUCAUAAAUAAAAAGAGGAUGAUUUAAAGAAAUUCUAGUUCA